AAAUGCGAUAAGUAAUGUGCAUUGCAGAAUUCAGUGAAUCAUCGAAUCUUUGAACGCACAUUGCGCCCGCCAGUAUUCUGGCGGGCAUGCCUGUCCGAGCGUCAUUUCAACCAUCAAGCCCCCGGGCUUGUGUUGGGGACCUGCGGCUGCCCGCAGGCCCUGAAAACCAGUGGCGGGCUCGCUGUCACACCGAGCGUAGUAGCAAUCACCUCGCUCAGGGCGUGCUGCGGGUUCCGGCCGUUAAACAGCCUUACAAAACCCAAGGUUGACCUCGGAUCAGGUAGGAAAACCCGCUGAACUUAAGC
RNAcentral lists this unclassified non-coding RNA (305 nucleotides) under plant metagenome. RNAcentral's name for it is "partial contains 5.8S ribosomal RNA, internal transcribed spacer 2, and large subunit ribosomal RNA". The stretch from base 1 to 104 matches the Rfam family "5.8S ribosomal RNA", at positions 51 to 154 of the family's 154-position model. The record is from RNAcentral.